This 495-nucleotide ribosomal RNA is filed under the name uncultured bacterium. RNAcentral describes it as "partial 16S ribosomal RNA". It matches the Rfam family "Bacterial small subunit ribosomal RNA", at positions 28 to 507 of the family's 1533-position model. The record is from RNAcentral.
GACGAACGCUGGCGGCGUGCCUAAUACAUGCAAGUAGAACGCUGAAGGAGGAGCUUGCUUCUCCGGAUGAGUUGCGAACGGGUGAGUAACGCGUAGGUAACCUGCCUGGUAGCGGGGGAUAACUAUUGGAAACGAUAGCUAAUACCGCAUAACAGUAGAUAUUGCAUGAUAUCUGCUUGAAAGGUGCAAUUGCAUCACUACCAGAUGGACCUGCGUUGUAUUAGCUAGUUGGUGGGGUAACGGCUCACCAAGGCGACGAUACAUAGCCGACCUGAGAGGGUGAUCGGCCACACUGGGACUGAGACACGGCCCAGACUCCUACGGGAGGCAGCAGUAGGGAAUCUUCGGCAAUGGACGGAAGUCUGACCGAGCAACGCCGCGUGAGGGAAGAAGGUUUUCGGAUCGUAAAGCUCUGUUGUAAGAGAAGAACGAGUGUGAGAGUGGAAAGUUCACACUGUGACGGUAUCUUACCAGAAAGGGACGGCUAACUACGUG